GACGAACGCUGGCGGCGUGCUUAACACAUGCAAGUCGAACGGAAAGGCCCUGCUUUUGUGGGGUUCUCGAGUGGCGAACGGGUGAGUAACACGUGAGUAACCUGCCCUUGACUUUGGGAUAACUUCAGGAAACUGGGGCUAAUACCGGAUAGGAUCUCCUGCUGCAUGGUGGGGGUUGGAAAGUUUCGGCGGUUGGGGAUGGACUCGCGGCUUAUCAGCUUGUUGGUGGGGUAGUGGCUUACCAAGGCUUUGAAGGGUAGCCGGCCUGAGAGGGUGACCGGCGACAUUGGGACUGAGAUACGGCCCAGACUCCUACGGGAGGCAGCAGUGGGGAAUAUUGCACAAUGGGCGGAAGCCUGAUGCAGCAACGCCGCGUGCGGGAUGACGGCCUUCGGGUUGUAAACCGCUUUCGCCUGUGACGAAGCGUGAGUGACGGUAAUGGGUAAAGAAGCACCGGCUAACUACGUG
Molecule: ribosomal RNA, 468 nt
Filed under: uncultured bacterium
Lineage: Bacteria
Description: partial 16S ribosomal RNA
Rfam family: Bacterial small subunit ribosomal RNA
Source: RNAcentral